This 310-nucleotide ribosomal RNA is filed under the name uncultured bacterium. RNAcentral's name for it is "bacterial SSU rRNA". It matches the Rfam family "Bacterial small subunit ribosomal RNA", at positions 28 to 334 of the family's 1533-position model. The record is from RNAcentral.
GACGAACGCUGGCGGCGUGCUUAACACAUGCAAGUCGAACGGAAAGGCCCUGCUUUUGUGGGGUGCUCGAGUGGCGAACGGGUGAGUAACGCGUGGGGAACCUGCCCCAUUCCGGGGGGUACCAGUUGGAAACGACUGUUAAUACCGCAUAAGCGCACGGUACCGCAUGGUAGUGUGUGAAAAACUCCGGUGGAAUGGGAUGGCCCCGCGUCUGAUUAGGCAGGUUGGCGGGGUAACGGCGCACCAAACCGACGAUCAGUAGCCGACCUGAGAGGGUGACCGGCCACAUUGGGACUGAGACACGGCCCAA